This 714-nucleotide small RNA is filed under the name Pongo abelii (Sumatran orangutan). RNAcentral's name for it is "processed transcript". The record is from RNAcentral. Lineage: Eukaryota; Metazoa; Chordata; Mammalia; Primates; Hominidae.
GCCCCACGCGCGGGCUCGCGCUUCGGUUUCCCCAGACCUGCUCGCAGCACCCUGUUCUCUUCCCGGUUCGGCCCGCUGCCCGCGGCGCCAGCACUAUGCUCUUCUAUUCUUUUUUCAAGUCCCUUGUGGGCAAGGAUGUGGUCGUGGAACUAAAGAAUGACCUGAGUAUCUCAACAUCAAACUAACUGACAUCAGUGUCACAGACCCUGAGAAAUAUCCUCACAUGUUAUCAGUGAAGAACUGCUUCAUUCGGGGCUCAGUGGUCCGAUACGUGCAGCUGCCCGCAGAUGAGGUCGACACACAGUUGCUACAGGAUGCAGCAAGGAAGGAAGCCCUGCAGCAGAAACAGUGAUGGCUCCUCCUCUUCCCCUCCCUCUUUCAUUGGUGACCCAUAACCCCAAGUCCCAGCCCAGAACCCCUAACCCCCAAUACUUGAAGGGGUUUUGUUUUUUUACUAAUGAUGGUUUUGUGGGUUGUUUUUUUUUAAGGGAUGAGUGGAUGAGAGGAAUAAUAGGGAACAGCUAUCCUCUCUUGAGAAGGGGAGGAUAAGUAGGCUGGGAAACUUCAAAGCCUUCCCAGUCCCCAGCACCUGCCUUUCUCACUACUUCCCUGGAGAUGGUAGGAGAGUUUCCUAGGUCUUUCCAGGGCAGCAUGUGAUUCAUUUGGGGAUGGAAGGAAUCUGUCCCGCAUCGGGAAUAAAAUUUAUGAUGCAAA